RNAcentral lists this ribosomal RNA (468 nucleotides) under uncultured bacterium. RNAcentral's name for it is "partial 16S ribosomal RNA". It matches the Rfam family "Bacterial small subunit ribosomal RNA", at positions 28 to 507 of the family's 1533-position model. The record is from RNAcentral.
GACGAACGCUGGCGGCGUGCUUAACACAUGCAAGUCGAACGGAAAGGCGCGGCUCUUGUGGGGUGCUCGAGUGGCGAACGCGGGAGUAACACGUGUGUAACCUGCCCCUGACUGUGGGAUAACUCUAGGGAACUGGGGCUAAUACCGGAUAGGAGCUCCUGCUGCAUGGUGGGGGUUGGAAAGAUUCGGCGGUUGGGGAUGGACUCGAGGCUUAUCAGCUUGUUGGUGGGGUAGGGGCUGACGAGGGCUUUGAAGGGUAGCAGGCCUGAGAGGGUUGCCGGCGACAUUGGGCCUGAGAUACGGACCAGACUCCUACGGGAGGCAGUGGUCGGGAAUAUUGCACAAUAGGCCGACGCGUGAUGCGGCAACGCCGGGUGCGGAAUACCGUGCUUCUGGUUGUAAACCGCUUUCGAAUGAGACGAAGCGUUAGUGACGGUAACGGGUAAAGAAGCACCGGCUAACUACGUG